This 69-nucleotide transfer RNA is filed under the name Paramesotriton zhijinensis. Its description in RNAcentral is "tRNA-Asp". Lineage: Eukaryota; Metazoa; Chordata; Amphibia; Caudata; Salamandridae. The record is from RNAcentral.
AAGAUGUUAGUAAAAUAAUUACCAGGCCUUGUCGGGGCCUAAUUACUAGUUUAAGCCUUGUAUAUCUUA